AAUUUCUUAAUUCAAUCAGUCCGGAACUUCCUUCUUUUCAGGCUCUUCGCGAGCAGCCUUGGAUCCUGGUGAUGAACAAGAUUGAUCAGGUGUGUGAAGGAGACGUAACCAUACCGGAAGACGUGAGAGCAGCGUUCUCGGCCGUGGUGUCCACGUGUGCCGUCAAAGAGGCGCUCGACAUCGACAAGCUAGACACGGCUCUAGCCGCCUUGAUUGCUGCCGGGGGUGACGUCUUCUCGGCUGGCCAGCAACACUGGGCAGUAAACGAGGUAAGUUUGCGUAACAGACGUUUAGAGAGAGUGCAAGAGAUUUAAAAGCUUUCAGGUACCUUUUUUUCUUACUGUGCGCUUUCUUCGUUCUCCAGAGGCAGAAGGAGCAGCUAAUCCGAGCGAAACAGGCG
This 400-nucleotide long non-coding RNA is filed under the name Selaginella moellendorffii. Its description in RNAcentral is "long non-coding RNA (SMOE_LNC000815)". Lineage: Eukaryota; Viridiplantae; Streptophyta; Lycopodiopsida; Selaginellales; Selaginellaceae. The record is from RNAcentral.